CAGAAUAAGAAGGGGAGCCGAAAGGCUGAGAGGAAGGACCGCUUCGACCCUUGUACCUGAUUUGGAUUAUGCCAACGUAGGAAUCUUUUUUUCAAGCUUU
Molecule: regulatory RNA element, 100 nt
Organism: Lachnospiraceae bacterium CAG:364
Lineage: Bacteria; Bacillati; Bacillota; Clostridia; Lachnospirales; Lachnospiraceae
Rfam family: TPP riboswitch aptamer (THI element)
About the family: Vitamin B(1) in its active form thiamin pyrophosphate (TPP) is an essential coenzyme that is synthesised by coupling of pyrimidine and thiazole moieties in bacteria.
Source: Rfam